This 429-nucleotide ribosomal RNA is filed under the name Pseudomonadota bacterium. Its description in RNAcentral is "Proteobacteria bacterium partial 16S ribosomal RNA". It matches the Rfam family "Bacterial small subunit ribosomal RNA", at positions 355 to 776 of the family's 1533-position model. Lineage: Bacteria; Pseudomonadati; Pseudomonadota. The record is from RNAcentral.
UGGGGAAUAUUGGACAAUGGGCUAAAGCCUGAUCCAGCCAUGCCGCGUGUGUGAAGAAGGUCUUCGGAUUGUAAAGCACUUUAAGUUGGGAGGAAGGGCAGUAAGCGAAUACCUUGCUGUUUUGACGUUACCGACAGAAUAAGCACCGGCUAACUCUGUGCCAGCAGCCGCGGUAAUACAGAGGGUGCAAGCGUUAAUCGGAAUUACUGGGCGUAAAGCGCGCGUAGGUGGUUCGUUAAGUUGAAUGUGAAAGCCCCGGGCUCAACCUGGGAACUGCCUCCAAAACUGGCGAGCUAGAGUAGGGCAGAGGGUGGUGGAAUUUCCUGUGUAGCGGUGAAAUGCGUAGAUAUAGGAAGGAACACCAGUGGCGAAGGCGACCACCUGGGCUCAUACUGACACUGAGGUGCGAAAGCGUGGGGAGCAAACAGG